GAUGAAGAACGCAGCGAAAUGUGAUAAGUAAUGUGAAUUGCAAAAUUCAGUGAAUCAUCGAAUCUUUGAACGCACAUUGCGCCCGCCAGCAUUCUGGCGGGCAUGCCUGUUCGAGCGUCAUUUCAACCCUCGAGCCCCCCCGGGGGCCUCGGUGUUGGGGGACGGCACACCAGCCGCCCCCGAAAUGCAGUGGCGACCCCGCCGCAGCCUCCCCUGCGUAGUAGCACACACCUCGCACCGGAGCGCGGAGGCGGUCACGCCGUAAAACGCCCAACUUUCUUAGAGUUGACCUCGGAUCAGGUAGGAAUACCCGCUGAACUUAAGCAUAUCAAUAAGCGGAGGA
This 343-nucleotide unclassified non-coding RNA is filed under the name soil metagenome. Its description in RNAcentral is "partial contains 5.8S ribosomal RNA, internal transcribed spacer 2, and large subunit ribosomal RNA". The stretch from base 1 to 120 matches the Rfam family "5.8S ribosomal RNA", at positions 35 to 154 of the family's 154-position model. The record is from RNAcentral.